This 252-nucleotide ribosomal RNA is filed under the name uncultured bacterium. RNAcentral describes it as "partial 16S ribosomal RNA". It matches the Rfam family "Bacterial small subunit ribosomal RNA", at positions 524 to 776 of the family's 1533-position model. The record is from RNAcentral.
UACGGAGGGGACUAGCGUUGUUCGGAAUUACUGGGCGUAAAGCGCACGUAGGCGGAUUUGUAAGUCAGGGGUGAAAUCCCGGGGCUCAACCUCGGAACUGCCUUUGAUACUGCAAAUCUCGAGUCCGGAAGAGGUGAGUGGAAUUCCUAGUGUAGAGGUGAAAUUCGUAGAUAUUAGGAAGAACACCAGUGGCGAAGGCGGCUCACUGGUCCGGUACUGACGCUGAGGUGCGAAAGCGUGGGAGCAAACAGG